This 246-nucleotide ribosomal RNA is filed under the name uncultured bacterium. RNAcentral describes it as "partial 16S ribosomal RNA". It matches the Rfam family "Bacterial small subunit ribosomal RNA", at positions 56 to 334 of the family's 1533-position model. The record is from RNAcentral.
UGCAAGUCGAGUGGGUUUAGACCCACGGCGAACGGCUGAGGAACACAUGGGUACCUACCCCGAACUCAGGGAUAUCCCGCCGAAAGGCGGAGUAAUACCGGAUGCCCUCGCAAGAGGAAAGAUUUAUCGGUUCGGGAGGGGCCUGUGUCCUAUCAGGUAGUUGGUAAGGUAACGGCUUACCAAGCCUAUGACGGGUAACUGGUCUGAGAGGACGGCCAGUCAGAAUGGAACUGAGACACGGUCCAU